This is a long non-coding RNA of Neopsephotus bourkii (Bourke's parrot), 534 nucleotides long. RefSeq lists it as uncharacterized. The record is from RefSeq and is a predicted model, not a curated record. Lineage: Eukaryota; Metazoa; Chordata; Aves; Psittaciformes; Psittacidae. The transcript has 4 exons.
GCUCCGCCGCCUCCUCCUCCUCCUGCUCCUCCUCCUGCUCUUGGCAGCGGCUCCCGGUACCGGAGCGGGGCGGCCCCGCGCCCGCCGCGGGCUCACCUACCCCGGCACGCUGUGGUGCGGAGCCGGCAGCAACGCGGAUGCCUACGAGCAGCUGGGGGAGCACCGGGACACAGACCAGUGCUGCCGGGACCAUGACCACUGCCAGCACGUCAUCCACCCCUUCACUGCACGCUAUGGGUACCGCAACCUGCGCUGGCACACCAUCAGCCACUGUGACUGCGACCGCAGGUUAAAGGAGUGCCUGCAGCGGGUGAAUGACACAGCCUCACGAGUGGUGGGUCAGGCCUUCUUCAAUGUCAUCCAAGUGCCUUGCUUCGAGUUCACCUACAGGGAGGAGUGUGUGGAGCCCUACCUCUAUGUCUGGUGUAAGGCGUACAACACAGUGGCCAUCGCGGUGCCCAGGGAGCCGGUGCUGUAUGAGUUUGGGGGGGAGCUCAUUGACCGGGCAGCCAGGCCCGUGGGGGUCCCUCUAUG